This 228-nucleotide long non-coding RNA is filed under the name Elaeis guineensis (African oil palm). Its description in RNAcentral is "long non-coding RNA (EGUI_LNC056189)". Lineage: Eukaryota; Viridiplantae; Streptophyta; Magnoliopsida; Arecales; Arecaceae. The record is from RNAcentral.
UCUCUCUCUCUCUCUCUCUCUUUCUCUCUUGGAAAAAUAGGGGUCUGUUUGCAGCCUUCAUUUUCUAUUCACCAUGUUCUACUCUUUGCUGCUGCCCAUAGGAUCUUUUAAAGACGCAAAUCUACGUUUAGAUCGAAGACAUAAUUGAAAUAGGACUCCAAAACCCUUCAAACCAUUCGAUCAAGCCCCAGAUCAAAUUUUGGUCAUUGGAUAGCACCAAAUCUCUCC